This 301-nucleotide ribosomal RNA is filed under the name uncultured bacterium. RNAcentral describes it as "partial 16S ribosomal RNA". It matches the Rfam family "Bacterial small subunit ribosomal RNA", at positions 509 to 809 of the family's 1533-position model. The record is from RNAcentral.
CAGCAGCCGCGGUAACACGUAGGUGGCGAGCGUUGUCCGGAAUCAUUGGGCGUAAAGGGAGCGCAGGCGGACAUAUAAGUCCAUCUUAAAAGUGCGGGGCUCAACCCCGUGAGGGGAUGGAAACUGUAUGCCUUGAGUGCAGGAGAGGAAAGCGGAAUUCCCAGUGUAGCGGUGAAAUGCGUAGAUAUUAGGAAGAACACCAGUGGCGAAGGCGACUUUCUGGACGAAAACUGACGCUGAGGCGCGAAAGCCAGGGGAGCGAACGGGAUUAGAUACCCGUGUAGUCCCUGUCUCUUAUACA